RNAcentral lists this ribosomal RNA (450 nucleotides) under uncultured bacterium. RNAcentral's name for it is "partial 16S ribosomal RNA". It matches the Rfam family "Bacterial small subunit ribosomal RNA", at positions 354 to 796 of the family's 1533-position model. The record is from RNAcentral.
GUGGGGAAUUUUGGACAAUGGGGGCAACCCUGAUCCAGCAAUGCCGCGUGCAGGAAGAAGGCCUUCGGGUUGUAAACUGCUUUUGUACGGAACGAAACGGUCCUGGUUAAUACCUGGGGCUCAUGACGGUACCGUAAGAAUAAGCACCGGCUAACUACGUGCCAGCAGCCGCGGUAAUACGUAGGGUGCAAGCGUUAAUCGGAAUUACUGGGCGUAAAGCGUGCGCAGGCGGUUUUGUAAGACAGACGUGAAAUCCCCGGGCUCAACCUGGGAAUGGCGUUUGUGACUGCAAAGCUGGAGUGCGGCAGAGGGGGAUGGAAUUCCGCGUGUAGCAGUGAAAUGCGUAGAUAUGCGGAGGAACACCGAUGGCGAAGGCAAUCCCCUGGGCCUGCACUGACGCUCAUGCACGAAAGCGUGGGGAGCAAACAGGAUUAGAUACCCUUGUAGUCC